UUUUCGCUCUAAGAAAUUUGUAUCUSGUGUGUAGUAGUAAAUGUAAAUGUUUAACUAGCUUAAUACACGUAGUCGUAACUGAAAGGUUGAUCGAUCACAAUGUGGCCUGAACAAAGCCCAUGACGAARGUUACRGCAGUGAGGAAUAUUGGUCAAUAGCCUAACGGCUGAACCAGCAACUUGGAGGAAUGAAAAGCAAUAGCUAAACGCACUAUUUUAUAGUGUAGUAUCGACCCUGUCGAAUAAAAUUCUAGGUAGAGUUAUGAUAAUGACAUUAUCUAUCUAUGUGUCUUGACCAAAUUACGUGCCAGCAGUCGCGGUAAUACGUAAAAGACUAGUGUUAUUCAUGAUUAAUAGGUUUAAAGAGUACCUAGACGGUUAAUGAAGCCCCUAAAGGGUACAUAUUAACUAGAGUUAUAUGAAAGGGAGCUUUGAGGUACUGUUGAGUGUAGAGAUGAAAUUCGUUAAUACCAGAUAAGUGGCACGGAUCUAUGCGAAGGCAUCUCCUUAUGUAAUAACUGACGUUGAAGGACGAAGGCUUUUGAAGUGAAGAGGAUUAGAUACCCUAGUAAUCCAAGCAGAAAAUGAUGAAUGUCAUAGGUUGRAUAAUAUAUUUGGUCUAUAAAUGAAAGUGUAAGCAUUCCACCUCAAGAGUAAUUUGGCAACAUUGAAACUGAAAUCAUUAG
RNAcentral lists this ribosomal RNA (685 nucleotides) under Massalongia carnosa. Its description in RNAcentral is "SSU rRNA". It matches the Rfam family "Bacterial small subunit ribosomal RNA", at positions 212 to 912 of the family's 1533-position model. The record is from RNAcentral. Lineage: Eukaryota; Fungi; Ascomycota; Lecanoromycetes; Peltigerales; Massalongiaceae.